This 484-nucleotide ribosomal RNA is filed under the name uncultured bacterium. RNAcentral describes it as "partial 16S ribosomal RNA". It matches the Rfam family "Bacterial small subunit ribosomal RNA", at positions 28 to 523 of the family's 1533-position model. The record is from RNAcentral.
GACGAACGCUGGCGGCGUGCUUAACACAUGCAAGUCGAACGAUGAAGCCGGAGCUUGCUCUGGUGAAUUAGUGGCGAACGGGUGAGUAACACGUGAGUAACCUGCCCUUGACUCUGGGAUAACUGCGGGAAACUGUAGCUAAUACCGGAUACGACCCUCGGAGGCAUCUCCCGGGGGUGGAAAGAAUUUCGGUCAAGGAUGGACUCGCGGCCUAUCAGCUAGUUGGUGAGGUAAAGGCUCACCAAGGCGACGACGGGUAGCCGGCCUGAGAGGGUGACCGGCCACACUGGGACGGAGACACGGCCCAGACUCCUACGGGAGGCAGCAGUGGGGAAUAUUGCACAAUGGGCGCAAGCCUGAUGCAGCAACGCCGCGUGAGGGAUGGCGGCCUUCGGGUUGUAAACCUCUUUUAGCAGGGAAGAAGCGAAAGUGACGGUACCUGCAGAAAAAGCACCGGCUAACUACGUGCCAGCCGCCGCCGUAA